This is a long non-coding RNA of Neltuma alba, 759 nucleotides long. RefSeq lists it as uncharacterized. The transcript is spliced from 3 exons. The record is from RefSeq and is a predicted model, not a curated record. NCBI's taxonomy places the organism in Eukaryota, Viridiplantae, Streptophyta, Magnoliopsida, Fabales, Fabaceae.
GCAUAUGCUUCAGCCGUUGUCUUGGGUCUGCGAAGUCGCGGUCUGCAUUCUUUUCUCCCCACUAGACCCCCCUGCCUGCGGAGUAUAGGAGAUCCUAAUUUCGUUCUUUCUUGCUGAUAUUUGAUUUCGUCUGCCUAUAUCAACCAAAUUGCUUCACACGGAUUGAAAAUGGUGUCUUUUGCUAGUUGCUAAGCUGACGAAUCAUAUCUCUAAAAUUUUCCCUUCUAAUUUAAUUUUUUUUUCGGGCAUUGGUUUUGCUCGAGAUUGGCAUAAUCUUCCUAGACCGUGAGCUACCCUUCUUGGAGGUCCCGUCGAAUGAUUUCAUCUAAAGGGAGUACAUUUUGGGGAUGCAUUUUCAUAUCCCUUGGCUCUUUAUCCUUUGCUGGGUACUUCUUUGCUGCAAUUAUUUCCAAGCUUCUCCCGCCUUCAAAUAUAGCGAUAAUAUCUGCCUUGCAAAAUGACUGGUAUCACUGCUUCUUGGUGCCAUUGACUCUGCCUGUAGUAGUUGUUACGGUAUACUUCCAUUGGCUGAGCAUGAAGAUGUUUAAGCAUGCUUAACUUCUAACGUUCAUCUUCAGUUCAUCGUUUGGAAGCAUACUUAUUGAAUGUUGCCUCUUCAUUUAUGUCAGUUCAUUGGGGGCAGUCUGCCUUGCGCACGUUCUUCAUUGGCUUGUUGAUUGUAUAGACUUAUAAUUAAAUGGUGGUUAUUUCACCUUGGAAGUUGGAAGCCUAACCACAACCUCUCUCAGGCUUUUGUCA